UGAAUCUCAAAAAAAAAUAGAUAAAGCCUUGAAGAUAUGUUUCGGUAAAGUCUUUAAAGUAAGGAUAAAAUCAUGAAAUAUUAACCAAACACAAACUCAAUCUGAUGUUGAUCAAUGACAACAUAUUAUCAAGCAACGGGAGGAGAAAAGAAAAGAAGGAUAUAUGGUCUUGGAGCUCAAGCAAUAUUAUUUUAUGGACCAAAUUUUUAUGUCGCUUCUAUGUCUGAUGCUUCUGGUUCAGUACAACGUCCACAUGCUCAAACAAUACCAAUAGAAAAUAUGGAUGAGUUAGUGGUCCGAAUGAUUCCUUAACUAACUAAUCACUUGCUUCCUAUACUUAUAGAGCAGGUACGUGGUUUGAUUUCUCUAGUCUCAUCUCAUCCAAACACUCCUACCAACUAUCCAUAACCUGUUGCACUUGUAACUCCUGCUCGAACUGCAACAAAUAUCAAUGAGUACCAUGCGUCAGUUUUGAGGAAUGAUUAUGGGUCUCUAGUCUCUUUAGUUAAUUAGUUUUGGCUAGAUUCUAUUGAAAAUGUUUUCAACUAUAUAUUUUGCUUGAAAUUUAUCAUUGGGGAUAUUUUGAACUUGGUAAUAUAAUUUUCACUAAGAUAUGUACUUUGGAUCUUGUUGAUUAUUAAUUUAUGUGUAUAAAAUUGAUUUAUGAUUA
Molecule: non-coding RNA, 670 nt
Organism: Solanum lycopersicum (tomato)
Lineage: Eukaryota; Viridiplantae; Streptophyta; Magnoliopsida; Solanales; Solanaceae
Source: RefSeq, a predicted model, not a curated record